GUUCAAUAUAGAGCAAAAUGUAUCCAAAUGCCAGAAAUAUCUGUGAAGUGGCCUGAUUUUGUAACUGCUUUUCCUAAGCUCGGGACUAGUGAGUGCCCUGCGUGGGAUAGGUUGAUUUUCUCUAAUCAUACCAAGAGACGAUGAGGACUGCUCUUGGAUGAACAAGAAAUGGAAAAUCAGCGCAGAGGAGACAGAGUUUGCAAAUAACAGGACAUAACCCUUCAAUAUUAUGCCCUUAAUCUUUGUCCUGAACUGCUGAUCUUCAGAGGGACCCAGGAGAAGAUGAGUCCACCGUUUCUACUGGGGAAAAAAAAACAAAACAACAACAACAAAAAAACACAUCAAACUGUGGGACACUGGAUGGGUGGAUGGGCUAGGCCUGAAAAGAGAUUGCCAAAUACAAGUCCCUUCCAGAUGAAAAGUGGAUCCUUUAGGAAAAGGAGGUAAGAGAUGUAUGGUUUACAUGUAGGUUUCUGGUUAUGACUGCUUUUAACUGAUGAGUUCCCAUGUUGGAAUUGGUGUAACUCUGGAGAGAAUAUUUCCAAAUGGUUCUCAAGGAAUGUCAUGUAGCAUUUAUUAGAGUCACUCCAACAGGGACGCUUCCCACUUGCUUUGAUUUAGUGACAUUACUGCUGGUUAAAAGCCUUAGGUAAGCCCACACACAGUGGCUGGCGAUUUGGAUAAUUAGCAGGAAUGGCAGAGGCCUGUCUCUUUACAAGGAAGUUAGCAGUGACAUGCAAUUAAAGCAAACCGUGGGGGGAUGCUGGGGAGUUCUAAGGAUUGUAGUGGGUCGGGAGAAAUCAAACCAUAUAUACAGAUUUCCCUUUCCUACAAAGGAUUUCUGCUUGCUUCUUUUAAAAAGUUCUUCCAGAGGUAACUAUGUUCUUUCACACAAACAGAAACAAAAAGAACAACGUAACUCACUCCAUUGUUAUUUUCCUCCUAAUUUUGUGGACCGCUAUGGCCAGUUGGUGAAGCUGUUUAUCCACUGGAAUCUUGAUGAGCUGCUCCCUCAGUCUGUGGGGAGACAUGGACAAGAGACCAUGACUGUGAAGAUGCCAAAAACAGGCAGGGUGGGAAAAGACUUGACAAAGAGCACAGAGAAGGGGAUAGGGAGGCAGAGAAGAGGGAGAGAAGGAAGAGGAGAGAAGCAUGGACACCACGGGCCACGAACAAUCCUCUUUAAACAUUUACGCUUCGUUGUCCUUUCUCCUUGUGGGCAGUGGUCUCAUCAGCUGUCCCUCUGCUGUAUACACCUUUUAUACCUAGGUGUGCUGGCCAAAAGAGGUGUGUAUUCUCUUGUGCACCAGGCUGCUUGCUCACCCCUACCCCUAGGAUACUUGCUGCUAUUACCUGUUAUCUCACUAAAUUACUCAAAAUUAGUCCUCUGUUGA
RNAcentral lists this long non-coding RNA (1394 nucleotides) under Sus scrofa (pig). RNAcentral's name for it is "lncRNA (ENSSSCG00070017414.1)". The record is from RNAcentral. Lineage: Eukaryota; Metazoa; Chordata; Mammalia; Artiodactyla; Suidae.